Molecule: ribosomal RNA, 348 nt
Filed under: uncultured Mollicutes bacterium
Lineage: Bacteria; Bacillati; Mycoplasmatota; Mollicutes
Description: bacterial SSU rRNA
Rfam family: Bacterial small subunit ribosomal RNA
Source: RNAcentral
UACAGGUGGUGCGAUGGUUGUCGUUAGCUCGUGCCGUGAGGUGUGGGUUAAGUCCCGCAACGAGCGCAACCCUCAUUGUUAGUUACUACCAUUCAGUUGAGGACUCUAAUGAGACUGCCAACGAUAAGUUGGAGGAAGGUGGGGAUGACGUCAAAUCAUCAUGCCCUUUAUGACCUGGGCUACAAACGUACUACAAUGGCCAAUACAAAGAGAUGCGAAGCGGUGACGUGGAGCGAACCUCAGAAAGUUGGUCUCAGUUCAGAUUGAAGUCUGCAACUCGACUUCAUGAAGGCGGAAUCGCUAGUAAUCGCGGGUCAGCAGACCGCGGUGAAUACGUUCCCGGGUUUU